GACGAACGCUGGCGGCGUGCUUAACACAUGCAAGUCGAACGGUAAGGCCCUUCGGGGUACACGAGUGGCGAACGGGUGAGUAACACGUGGGUGAUCUGCCCUGCACUUCGGGAUAAGCCUGGGAAACUGGGUCUAAUACCGGAUAGGACCACUGCCUGCAUGGGUGGUGGUGGAAAGCUUUUGCGGGGUGGGAUGGGCCCGCGGCCUAUCAGCUUGUUGGUGGGGUGAUGGCCUACCAAGGCGACGACGGGUAGCCGGCCUGAGAGGGUGAACGGCUAAACGGGGACUGAGAUACGGCACAGACUGCUACGGGAGGCAGCAGUGGGGAAUAUUGCACAAUGGGCGCAAGCCUGAUGCGUCGACGCCGCGUGAGGGAUGGCGGCCUUCGGGUUGUAAACCUCUUUCAGCACCGACGAAGCGCAAGUGACGGUAGGUGCAGAAGAAGGGCCGGCCCUCUACGUGCCAGCCGCCGCCGUAA
RNAcentral lists this ribosomal RNA (478 nucleotides) under uncultured bacterium. RNAcentral's name for it is "partial 16S ribosomal RNA". It matches the Rfam family "Bacterial small subunit ribosomal RNA", at positions 28 to 523 of the family's 1533-position model. The record is from RNAcentral.